Molecule: unclassified non-coding RNA, 353 nt
Filed under: soil metagenome
Description: partial contains 5.8S ribosomal RNA, internal transcribed spacer 2, and large subunit ribosomal RNA
Rfam family: 5.8S ribosomal RNA (bases 1-120)
Source: RNAcentral
GAUGAAGAAAGCAGCGAAAUGCGAUAAGUAAUGUGAAUUGCAGAAUUCAGUGAAUCAUCGAAUCUUUGAACGCACAUUGCGCCCGCCAGUAUUCUGGCGGGCAUGCCUGUUCGAGCGUCAUUACAACCCUCAGGCCCCCGGGCCUGGCGUUGGGGAUCGGCGGAAGCCCCCUGCGGGCACAACGCCGUCCCCCAAAUACAGUGGCGGUCCCGCCGCAGCUUCCAUUGCGUAGUAGCUAACACCUCGCAACUGGAGAGCGGCGCGGCCACGCCGUAAAACACCCAACUUCUGAAUGUUGACCUCGAAUCAGGUAGGAAUACCCGCUGAACUUAAGCAUAUCAAUAAGCGGAGGA